UACGUAUGUCCCGAGCGUUGUCCGGAUUUAUUGGGCGUAAAGCGAGCGCAGACGGUUGAUUAAGUCUGAUGUGAAAGCCCGGAGCUUAACUGCGGAGGGGCAUUGGAAACUGGGUGACUUGAGUGCAGAAGAGGAGAGUGGAAUUCCAUGUGUAGCGGUGAAAUGCGUAGAUAUAUGGAGGAACACCAGUGGCGAAGGCGACUUUCUGGACUGUAACUGACGCUGAGGCUCGAAAGUGUGGGUAGCAAACAGG
Molecule: ribosomal RNA, 253 nt
Filed under: uncultured bacterium
Lineage: Bacteria
Description: partial 16S ribosomal RNA
Rfam family: Bacterial small subunit ribosomal RNA
Source: RNAcentral